UACGGGGGGGGCAAGCGUUGUUCGGAAUUACUGGGCGUAAAGGGCGCGUAGGCGGCCACCGCAAGUCGACUGUGAAAUCUCCGGGCUUAACCCGGAAAGGUCAGCCGAAACUGCGGGGCUAGAGUGCAGAAGGGGCAACUGGAAUUCUCGGUGUAGCGGUGAAAUGCGUAGAUAUCGAGAGGAACACCUGCGGCGAAGGCGGGUUGCUGGGCUGACACUGACGCUGAAGCGCGAAAGCUAGGGGAGCGAACGGG
This 254-nucleotide ribosomal RNA is filed under the name uncultured bacterium. Its description in RNAcentral is "partial 16S ribosomal RNA". It matches the Rfam family "Bacterial small subunit ribosomal RNA", at positions 524 to 776 of the family's 1533-position model. The record is from RNAcentral.